AUUGAACGCUGGCGGCAUGCCUAACACAUGCAAGUCGAACGAGUGGCGGACGGGUGAGUAAUGUAUUGGAAAGUGCCCAGUGGAGGGGGAUAACUACUGGAAAGGGUAGCUACUACCGCCUACUAUCGGAGCUGCCCAUAUGGGAUUAGCUAGUUGGUGGGGUAACGGCUCACCAAGGCGACGAUCCCUAGCUGGUUUGAGAGGCUGACCAGCCACACUGGAACUGAGACACGGGCCAGACUCCUACGGGAGGCAGCAGUGGGGAAUUUUGGACAAUGGGCGAAAGCCUGAUUCAGCCAGGCCGCGUGUAUGAUGAAGGCCUUCGGGUUGUAAAGUACUUUUAGCGAAGAGGCGGUACUUGCAGAAGAAGCACCGGCUAACUACGUGCCAGCAGCCGCGGUAAUUC
RNAcentral lists this ribosomal RNA (406 nucleotides) under uncultured bacterium. RNAcentral describes it as "partial 16S ribosomal RNA". It matches the Rfam family "Bacterial small subunit ribosomal RNA", at positions 30 to 526 of the family's 1533-position model. The record is from RNAcentral.